RNAcentral lists this unclassified non-coding RNA (2725 nucleotides) under Hevea brasiliensis (rubber tree). Lineage: Eukaryota; Viridiplantae; Streptophyta; Magnoliopsida; Malpighiales; Euphorbiaceae. The record is from RNAcentral.
GUUGAAUUUGAUAUCGAUCGUCGCCAAACAUCUUGGAUAACGCACCGGCACAGCCAUGGCUUGGGUUGGGAACCUAAUUCGAUUCUCAGCUAUCAAAUCAGCAUCUUCUCCAUCCAUCACAGCCAAACCCCUGAUUUUAACUACUUCUCCCAACUUUUUGUUCUCUUCUCUCUCCCAUUUCACCACCGACGCCUCCCUUCACAAUCACAACCGUUCAUCACCGUCGCCAACACAGUAUGGCGGCCUAGGCCCCACCAAGCCCAAUGAGAAACCAAGGGUCGUCGUGUUGGGGUCGGGCUGGGCUGGCUGCCGCCUCAUGAAGGGCAUAGACACCAAGUUGUACGAUGUCGUUUGCGUAUCCCCCCGGAACCACAUGGUCUUCACCCCUCUGCUGGCUUCCACUUGUGUCGGCACCCUCGAGUUCAGGUCAGUGGCUGAACCCAUCGCCCGCAUCCAGCCUGCCAUUUCUAAGGAACCCGGAUCCUUCUACUUUCUCGCCAACUGCACUGGUCUCGAUACUCAUAACCAUUUGGUGCAUUGUCAGACCGUUACUGAUGGAUACACCAUGGAUCCACGGAAGUUCGAUAUCUCAUAUGACAAAUUGGUAAUUGCAUUAGGAGCAGAGGCCUCAACAUUUGGGAUCCAGGGUGUCAAAGAACAUGCAAUUUUUCUUCGGGAAGUUCACCAUGCCCAGGAAAUUCGGAGAAAGCUACUCCUGAACUUGAUGCUUUCUGAUGUACCUGGUAUUUCAGAAGAAGAGAAGAGAAGAUUGUUACAUUGUGUUGUUGUUGGAGGUGGCCCCACUGGAGUUGAAUUCAGUGGUGAACUUAGUGAUUUUAUCAUGAGAGAUGUUCGUCAAAGAUAUGCCCAUGUGAAAGAUUAUAUCCAUGUUACAUUGAUUGAGGCGAAUGAGAUAUUAUCUUCCUUUGAUGAUCGGCUCCGUCGUUAUGCUACUAAGCAGUUGACAAAGUCAGGUGUUCGCCUUGUCCGUGGGAUUGUCAAAGAUGUUGAGCCUCAGAAACUAAUUCUUAAUGAUGGCUCAGAGGUUCCAUAUGGUUUAUUGGUAUGGUCUACUGGUGUUGGACCCUCACCUCUAGUAAAAUCUCUGGACCUUCCAAAAUCUCCUGGUGGAAGGUAAGUUAUUUACUCCUUGUGAUGCACAAAGUGCAUACUUGGUGUAUUUUAAUGUAAUUAAAUGAAUCUUGAGUUCAUUAUCUUGUUAAAAUAUUAUUUGAUUACAUUCCAUUAUGUGUAAAUUUGAAGGUUUUUCAUUUGAAGGUUUUUCCAAUGUAUUAUAUUGUUCCUCCUAUGCAAUUUAAGUUUUGUUGUGAUGUUUUUGAUAAUCUUCCUUGCAAAGAUGUUGAUUUCCUGCAUUGCAAUAUUGAUGAUCUUUUAGGUCAGAUCCCUAUGUUGUUUCUUUUUUCCCUUUCUUUCAAAAGCCAGUGUCUAUGCUUUAGGUCUGUUGGACCAAGGUUAACUUGUUCUAAUAAUUAUCAUUUAAUUACAGGAUUGGUAUUGACGAGUGGCUACGAGUCCCGUCCGUGCAGGAUGUGUUUGCUAUUGGUGACUGCAGUGGCUUUCUUGAAAGCACUGGUAAAACAGUCCUUCCUGCUUUGGCUCAGGUGAACUUUGAUCCAUAUGAACUAUUCAGAUCCUAUUUUAUUAAGUGUCGGCUGGUGAACUUUGAAAAUCUCAUGUCAAUAAUAAAGAAGUAGAGAUUUUAUAUGUGGGCUCUUAUGCAUUAUGCAGUUGCAUCAAGUGUUCAAGGCUGUCCUUUCAAUGAAAAAUGUUUCAAAGUAACUUACAAUUCCAGGAAGCAAAUUAUUUAGCUCCAGUAUUGAUAGUUUGACCUUCUGUUUGAUUCAAGUGUCUCAUUUCUCCUUUUGUUGCUAAUGCAUUUCUCCUGUUCAUGUCAUGCCAGUUUUUUUUUCAUUUCUGAAAAUCUAAUGCUGGUGGCAUUUUUCCCUUCUAAUUAAAAUCUGAAACAGGUUGCCGAACGGCAAGGAAAAUAUCUUUCAAGUCUCUUAAACAAAAUUGGUAUAGCUGGUGGGGGGCAUGCAUAUGGUGCUAAAGAUGUAGAAUUGGGGGAUCCAUUUGUUUACAGACAUCUGGGAAGCAUGGCAACCAUUGGCAGCUUCAAGGCUUUGGUUGAUCUUAGACAGAGCAAAGAGGCCAAAGGGAUUUCUCUGGCAGGAUUUAUCAGUUGGUUUGUAUGGCGCUCUGCAUAUCUAACACGUGUGAUAAGCUGGAGGAAUAGAUUCUAUGUGGCUAUUAACUGGGCCACAACUUUUGUGUUUGGUCGAGAUAUAAGCAGAAUAUAGAUCUGAAAAAAGGACGCAGGCAUGUAAUCUGAUUGUAGUUGCUUGUGCUCGUGUAACAUUUGAUCGUCAUUUCAAUGCCAUUGGUUUGUGGAGUACGUUGAAUAAGGGUAGGCUUCUUCUGUCGGGCUUAGACUCAAAAGUGCCAUGUUCCUUGUUGCAAAUUUGCUUUCUUUUGUCAUCCUCGUAUAAUGGCUACCCAUCGGUUUGUAAUAUCUUUCUCCCACGUGGCUGGUUUCUUUGGCUGGUUACGCUUUUAGAACGAAUUUAUAGAGAUUUUUCGCCUCGAGUUAUUAGCACACCCCUGGGCCUCUCCUCUCUCUAAAUUUGGUUCCAGAGAAUUAUGGGUUUUGCUGUUAAAUAAGUUAUCAAGGUGAUUUGUUAACACAAUUCCCCAAUAAAUAGAU